AGCGUCGGUGAACCACCCGAUCCCAUCCCGAACUCGGACGUGAAACCCCUCUGCGCCAAUGGUACUAUCGCUCAAGCGAUGGAAGAGUAGGUCGCCGCCAGGCA
Molecule: ribosomal RNA, 104 nt
Filed under: Sphingomonas sp. 8AM
Lineage: Bacteria; Pseudomonadati; Pseudomonadota; Alphaproteobacteria; Sphingomonadales; Sphingomonadaceae
Source: RNAcentral